GUCAGCAGCCAUAUCAACUGCAGUUCAGACUAAGUAAUCCUUCUGAAGGUAAGCAGGUUUGGGCCAGGCCAGUACUUGGAUGGGAGACCAACUAGGAAAGCCAGGUUGCUGUUGGAA
RNAcentral lists this ribosomal RNA (117 nucleotides) under Paramormyrops kingsleyae. Lineage: Eukaryota; Metazoa; Chordata; Actinopteri; Osteoglossiformes; Mormyridae. The record is from RNAcentral.